Molecule: ribosomal RNA, 385 nt
Filed under: uncultured bacterium
Lineage: Bacteria
Description: bacterial SSU rRNA
Rfam family: Bacterial small subunit ribosomal RNA
Source: RNAcentral
AAUGGGGGAAACCCUGAUCCAGCCAUGCCGCGUGAGUGAUGAAGGCCUUAGGGUUGUAAAGCUCUUUCGUCGGGGAAGAUAAUGACGGUACCCGAAGAAGAAGCCUCGGCUAACUCCGUGCCAGCAGCCGCGGUAAGACGGAGGAGACUAGCGGUGUUCGGAAUUACUGGGCGUAAAGCGUGCGCAGGUUGUGAGUUAAGUCUGAUGUGAAAGCCCGGGGCUCAACCUCGGAUGUGCAUUAGAAACUGACUUGCUGGAGGUUGGAAGAGGAGAGUGGAAUUCCCAGUGUAGAGGUGAAAUUCGUAGAUAUUGGGAAGAACACCAGUGGCGAAGGCGGCUCUCUGGUCCAUACCUGACACUCAAGCACGAAAGCGUGGGGAGCAAA